This 400-nucleotide ribosomal RNA is filed under the name uncultured bacterium. RNAcentral describes it as "bacterial SSU rRNA". It matches the Rfam family "Bacterial small subunit ribosomal RNA", at positions 356 to 773 of the family's 1533-position model. The record is from RNAcentral.
GGGGAAUAUUGGACAAUGGGGGAAACCCUGAUCCAGCAAUGCCGCGUGAGUGAAGAAGGCCUAAGGGUUGUAAAGCUCUUUUAUUAGGGUAGAUAAUGACUGUACCUAAUGAAUAAGUCCCGGCUAACUCCGUGCCAGCAGCCGCGGUAAUACGGAGGGGGCAAGCGUUGUUCGGAAUGACUGGGCGUAAAGGGCGUGUAGGCGGUUACACAAGUCAGACGUGAAAGCCCUGGGCUUAACCCAGGAAUUGCGUUUGAGACUGUGUGACUAGAGUACGAGAGAGGAAAGCAGAAUUUCCAGUGUAGAGGUGAAAUUCGUAGAUAUUGGAGGGAAUACCAGUGGCGAAGGCGGCUUUCUGGAUCGUAACUGACGCUGAGGCGCGAAAGCGUGGGGAGCAAAC